Molecule: ribosomal RNA, 459 nt
Filed under: uncultured bacterium
Lineage: Bacteria
Description: partial 16S ribosomal RNA
Rfam family: Bacterial small subunit ribosomal RNA
Source: RNAcentral
CCUACGGGUGGCAGCAGUGAGGAAUAUUGGUCAAUGGCCGCAGGGCUGAACCAGCCAAGUCGCGUGAGGGAUGACGGUCCUAUGGAUUGUAAACCUCUUUUGUCAGGGAGCAAAGGGCGCCACGUGUGGCGCUUUGCGAGUACCUGAAGAAAAAGCAUCGGCUAACUCCGUGCCAGCAGCCGCGGUAAUACGGAGGAUGCGAGCGUUAUCCGGAUUUAUUGGGGUUAAAGGGUGCGCAGGCGGAAUGUCAAGUCAGCGGUAAAAUUUCGGGGCUAAACCCCGUCGUGCCGUUGAAACUGGCUUUCUUGAGUGAGCGAGAAGUAUGCGGAAUGCGUGGUGUAGCGGUGAAAUGCAUAGAUAUCACGAAGAACUCCGAUUGCGAAGGCAGCAUACCGGCGCUCAACUGACGCUCAUGCACGAAAGCGUGGGUAUCGAACAGGAUUAGAUACCCCUGUAGUC